RNAcentral lists this ribosomal RNA (459 nucleotides) under uncultured bacterium. RNAcentral's name for it is "partial 16S ribosomal RNA". It matches the Rfam family "Bacterial small subunit ribosomal RNA", at positions 29 to 523 of the family's 1533-position model. The record is from RNAcentral.
AACGAACGCUGGCGGCAGGCUUAACACAUGCAAGUCGAACGUGAAGCCACCUUCGGGUGGUGGAAAGUGGCAGACGGGUGAGUAACGCGUGGGAAUCUACCUAAUGGUACGGAAUAACUCGGGGAAACUUGAGCUAAUACCGUAUGUGCCCGCAAGGGGAAAGAUUUAUCGCCAUUAGAUGAGCCCGCGUCGGAUUAGCUAGUUGGUGGGGUAAUGGCCCACCAAGGCGACGAUCCGUAGCUGAUCUGAGAGGAUGAUCAGCCACACUGGGACUGAGACACGGCCCAGACUCCUACGGGAGGCAGCAGUGGGGAAUAUUGGACAAUGGGCGAAAGCCUGAUCCAGCUAUGCCGCGUGAGUGAUGAAGGCCCUAGGGUUGUAAAGCUCUUCCGACGGGGACGAUAGUGACGGUACCCGUAGAAGAAGCCCCGGCUAACUUCGUGCCAGCAGCCGCCGUAA